This 449-nucleotide ribosomal RNA is filed under the name uncultured bacterium. RNAcentral describes it as "partial 16S ribosomal RNA". It matches the Rfam family "Bacterial small subunit ribosomal RNA", at positions 29 to 523 of the family's 1533-position model. The record is from RNAcentral.
AACGAACGCUGGCGGCAUGCCUAACACAUGCAAGUCGAACGAGAUCUUCGGGUCUAGUGGCGCACGGGUGCGUAACGCGUGGGAAUCUGCCCUUUGGUUCGGAAUAACAGUUGGAAACGACUGCUCAUACCGGAUGAUGACGAGAGUCCAAAGAUUUAUCGCCAGAGGAUGAGCCCGCGUAGGAUUAGCUAGUUGGUAUGGUAAAGGCGCACCAAGGCGACGAUCCUUAGCUGGUCUGAGAGGAUGAUCAGCCACACUGGGACUGAGACACGGCCCAGACUCCUACGGGAGGCAGCAGUGGGGAAUAUUGGACAAUGGGCGAAAGCCUGAUCCAGCAAUGCCGCGUGAGUGAUGAAGGCCUUAGGGUUGUAAAGCUCUUUUACCCGGGAUGAUAAUGACAGUACCGGGAGAAUAAGCUCCGGCUAACUCCGUGCCAGCAGCCGCAGUAA